CGCGGGCGAUCUCCCGCGGUCCGCCCGAGGGUGGGGGUACGGCCCAUCAGGUUGUUGGCGGGGUAACGGCCCGCCAAGCCGAAGACGGGUAGGGGCGGUGAGAGCCGUGAGCCCCGAGAUGGGCACUGAGACAAGGGCCCAGGCCCUACGGGGUGCAGCAGGCGCGAAUACUCCGCAAUGCGGGCAACCGCGACGGGGCCACCCCGAGUGCCGGGCGAAGAGCCCGGCUUUUGCCCGGUGUAAGGAGCCGGGCGAAUAAGCGGGGGGUAAGUCUGGUGUCAGCCGCCGCGGUAAUACCAGCCCCGCGAGUGGUCAGGGUGAUUACUGGGCUUAAAGCGCCCGUAGCCGGCCCGGCAAGUCGCUCCUGAAAUCCCCAGGCUCAACCUGGGGGCAGGGGGCGAUACUGCCGGGCUAGGGGGCGGGAGAGGCCGCCGGUACUCCGGGGGUAGGGGCGAAAUCCUAUAAUCCCCGGAGGACCACCAGUGGCGAAAGCGGGCGGCCAGAACGCGCCCGACGGUGAGGGGCGAAAGCCGGGGGAGCAAAGGGGAUUAGAUACCCCUGUAGUCCCGGCCGUAAACGAUGCGGGCUAGCUGUCGGCCGGGCUUAGGGCCCGGCCGGUGGCGUAGGGAAACCGUUAAGCCCGCCGCCUGGGGAGUACGGCCGCAAGGCUGAAACUUAAAGGAAUUGGCGGGGGGGCACCACAAGGGGUGAAGCUUGCGGCUUAAUUGGAGUCAACGCCGGA
Molecule: ribosomal RNA, 742 nt
Filed under: uncultured Thermoproteales archaeon
Lineage: Archaea; Thermoproteati; Thermoproteota; Thermoprotei; Thermoproteales
Description: bacterial SSU rRNA
Rfam family: Archaeal small subunit ribosomal RNA
Source: RNAcentral